UAGCAGGAAAGUUCUUAAUUGCUCUGUUCUCUCUUUACUCCCUGGAUCAACUCUGGUAUUUUUCUACGGUUUUAAUUAAUUAUGGCUCCUACUUUCCUCUCUCAAAACAGAAAGGGAGGAAGAAUGACAGGUAGAAGUGAGCUGGCCAGCUGGAACACAGUGGGCAGUUGAGGGGACACUGGUCGUGCAGAAGGCUCUUGGCAGUGUUCCUCUCUGAAAGAAUACUUUCAGUGUGCUGUACUGUUCUCCAGCACUUCUUUAGCGAAUUGUCUAAGCUGGCAUAAGCAUCAAAGGGAUAAGAGGAGGACAGGGGAAUGGGGCACGUGUCUGCGGGGUGAGUCUCCAAUGAAUGGCUGACAGUGGUAAACAGCCUUUCAGCACUGCUUCUGCAAGGGUCAUCCUUAUUUGUGAAACAGUCAUCUGCAGCUUACAGUCUGAAAAUGAAGCUAUUUCCUGAAACCGUUCUCAGCAGUGAGGCAAGUUGGUCACCUAGACAAGCAGAUUCUCUGAAGCCAAUGAAUUGAUGUACA
This 530-nucleotide long non-coding RNA is filed under the name Gallus gallus (chicken). Its description in RNAcentral is "long non-coding RNA NONGGAT008750". Lineage: Eukaryota; Metazoa; Chordata; Aves; Galliformes; Phasianidae. The record is from RNAcentral.